GAUGAAGAACGCAGCGAAAUGCGAUAAGUAAUGUGAAUUGCAGAAUUCAGUGAAUCAUCGAAUCUUUGAACGCACAUUGCGCCCGCCAGUAUUCUGGCGGGCGUGCCUGUUCGAGCGUCAUUACAACCCUCAGGCCCCCGGGCCUGGCGUUGGGGAUCGGCGGAGCCCCCCGUGGGCACACGCCGUCCCCCAAAUACAGUGGCGGUCCCGCCGCAGCUUCCAUCGCGUAGUAGCUAACACCUCGCGACUGGAGAGCGGCGCGGCCACGCCGUAAAACACCCAACUCUUCUGAAGUUGACCUCGAAUCAGGUAGGAAUACCCGCUGAACUUAAGCAUAUCAAUAAGCGGAGGA
RNAcentral lists this unclassified non-coding RNA (352 nucleotides) under soil metagenome. RNAcentral's name for it is "partial contains 5.8S ribosomal RNA, internal transcribed spacer 2, and large subunit ribosomal RNA". The stretch from base 1 to 120 matches the Rfam family "5.8S ribosomal RNA", at positions 35 to 154 of the family's 154-position model. The record is from RNAcentral.